CCUCUUAACGUCGUCGGGUGUGCCAAAGGACUCGUUCAACAUUUGCAGCAUGUCCUGUGGCUGAGCAUUCUCAAAACGACGGCUAAACUCAUCAUUCAUCACUGCCAACAUAAUACAACGAACUGUAGUCCGAUCAUUGUGCCAUUUUUGAUAAGUGUCUUAGAUCGAGAUACGUGCAUUUGGAGCUGGCUCCUCGAGUGCCAGAUCAGUUAACACAUACA
RNAcentral lists this long non-coding RNA (221 nucleotides) under Elaeis guineensis (African oil palm). RNAcentral's name for it is "long non-coding RNA (EGUI_LNC081900)". Lineage: Eukaryota; Viridiplantae; Streptophyta; Magnoliopsida; Arecales; Arecaceae. The record is from RNAcentral.